Molecule: ribosomal RNA, 407 nt
Filed under: uncultured bacterium
Lineage: Bacteria
Description: bacterial SSU rRNA
Rfam family: Bacterial small subunit ribosomal RNA
Source: RNAcentral
CUGGGAAUUUUGCGCAAUGGACGAAAGUCUGACGCAGCGACACCGCGUGUGGGAUGAAGUAUUUCGGUAUGUAAACCACUGUGAUAAGGAAUGAAAUUUUGACAGUACCUUAUUAGAAAGCAUCUGCUAACUACGUGCCAGAAGCCUCGGCAAUGCGUGGGAUGCAAGCGUUAUCCGGAUUUACUGGGCGUAAAGGGUUUCGCAGGCGGAUUGUUAAGUCUCACUUUAAAGACUGGAGCUCAACUCCAGAUAUGGGUGUGAUACUAGCAGUCUAGAGGGUAUCAGGGGGAACUGGAAUGCUCGGUGGAGGGGUGAAAUCCGUUGAGAUCGAGCAGAACGCCAAUGGCGAAAGCAGGUUCCUGGGGUAUUCCUGACGCUCAGGUACGAAAGCUAGGGGAGCAAACGGG